ACCAAUUUUCAAUUUGAAAACAGUGAUAUAUCUUUAUUGUUGACUACGAUAAUGAUGGUUAUGAUUAUUGUUUAAUGAAAUAAUGAAAUUAUAGAUAAGGAUAGAUGUAAUUGAUAAAAUAACUUUUAUCUGAAAACUGAGUUUUGUUAUAAAGUAUGGAUAAAACUUGAUCAGUAAUAACAGUUGUACUCGUCAAAAGUUCUCGGAGAGAAGUGAAGUUACAUCAGACGGCAGAGAGAUCUCGGACCUCCACUCUUCAACUUCUCCCUACUACUCUCAUGUUCACACACAGGCUCAUACAAUAUACAUACAUAUAUGUAAUAGUUCUUUACCAAAUAGACUUAUACAUUUAUACUUUCUACUAAUACAAAUUUGAGAUAUAAGCUUAUACAUUUACGUUCUUUACUUUAUCCAUUCUACGUCUUCUUAUUACUUAUAUUAUUUAUAUUUUAUUUUCCUGUACUUGGAUACAAUCUUCCAGUUAGAUAUUCUAGACUAUCAGAGGUUCCAAGUAUCGGGUAACAGAAAACGUUCCAAGACCACUCAAACUAUAUUUAUAUUUUUCUGAAUAGAAAAUAAAGAUAUGCUUAUC
Molecule: long non-coding RNA, 592 nt
Organism: Microplitis demolitor
Lineage: Eukaryota; Metazoa; Arthropoda; Insecta; Hymenoptera; Braconidae
Exons: 2
Source: RefSeq, a predicted model, not a curated record